Lethenteron reissneri (Far Eastern brook lamprey) is the source of this 107-nucleotide small nuclear RNA. NCBI's taxonomy places the organism in Eukaryota, Metazoa, Chordata, Hyperoartia, Petromyzontiformes, Petromyzontidae. The record is from RefSeq and is a predicted model, not a curated record.
GUACUUGCUCUGGCAGUACAUAUACUAAAAUUGGAACGAUACAGAGAAUAUUAGCAUGGUCCCUGCGCAAGGAUGACACGCAAAUUCAAGAUGAGAGGGGAAAGGUA